UGGGGAAUAUUGGACAAUGGGCGAAAGCCUGAUCCAGCAAUACCACGUGAAUGAUGAAGGCCUUAGGGUUGUAAAGUUCUUUUAGUAGGGAAGAUAAUGACGGUACCUACAGAAAAAGCUCCGGCUAACUCCGUGCCAGCAGCCGCGGUAAGACGGAGGGAGCUAGCGUUGUUCGGAAUUACUGGGCGUAAAGAGCACGUAGGCGGAAUGGUAAGUUAGAAGUGAAAGCCCAGGGCUUAACCCUGGAAUUGCUUUUAAAACUGCCAAUCUAGAGUUUAGUAGGGGGUGAUGGAAUUCCUAGUGUAGAGGUGAAAUUCUUAGAUAUUAGGAGGAACACCGGUGGCGAAGGCGGUCACCUGGGCUAAAACUGACGCUGAGGUGCGAAAGCGUGGGGAGCAAA
RNAcentral lists this ribosomal RNA (400 nucleotides) under uncultured bacterium. Its description in RNAcentral is "bacterial SSU rRNA". It matches the Rfam family "Bacterial small subunit ribosomal RNA", at positions 355 to 772 of the family's 1533-position model. The record is from RNAcentral.